This 492-nucleotide ribosomal RNA is filed under the name uncultured bacterium. RNAcentral describes it as "partial 16S ribosomal RNA". It matches the Rfam family "Bacterial small subunit ribosomal RNA", at positions 29 to 507 of the family's 1533-position model. The record is from RNAcentral.
AGUGAACGCUGGCGGUAGGCCUAACACAUGCAAGUCGAACGGCAGCACAGUAAGAGCUUGCUCUUACGGGUGGCGAGUGGCGGACGGGUGAGGAAUACAUCGGAAUCUACUUUUUCGUGGGGGAUAACGUAGGGAAACUUACGCUAAUACCGCAUACGACCUACGGGUGAAAGCAGGGGAUCUUCGGACCUUGCGCGAUUGAAUGAGCCGAUGUCGGAUUAGCUAGUUGGCGGGGUAAAGGCCCACCAAGGCGACGAUCCGUAGCCGGUCUGAGAGGAUGAUCAGCCACACUGGAACUGAGACACGGUCCAGACUCCUACGGGAGGCAGCAGUGGGGAAUAUUGGACAGUGGGCGCAAGCCUGAUCCAGCCAUACCGCGUGGGUGAAGAAGGCCUUCGGGUUGUAAAGCCCUUUUGUUGGGAAAGAAAAGCAGCAGGUUAAUACCCCGCUGUUCUGACGGUACCCAAAGAAUAAGCACCGGCUAACUUCGUG